ACGGAAGGCAGCAGUGAGGAAUAUUGGUCAAUGGACGCGAGUCUGAACCAGCCAAGUAGCGUGAAGGAUGACUGCCCUAUGGGUUGUAAACUUCUUUUAUAUGGGAAUAAAGUGAGCCGCGUGUGGCUUUUUGUAUGUACCAUACGAAUAAGGAUCGGCUAACUCCGUGCCAGCAGCCGCGGUAAUACGGAGGAUCCGAGCGUUAUCCGGAUUUAUUGGGUUUAAAGGGAGCGUAGGCGGACUAUUAAGUCAGCUGUGAAAGUUUGCGGCUCAACCGUAAAAUUGCAGUUGAUACUGGUCGUCUUGAGUGCAGUAGAGGUAGGCGGAAUUCGUGGUGUAGCGGUGAAAUGCUUAGAUAUCACGAAGAACUCCGAUUGCGAAGGCAGCUUACUGGACUGUAACUGACGCUGAUGCUCGAAAGUGUGGGUAUCAAACAGGAUUAGAUACCCUGGUA
Molecule: ribosomal RNA, 454 nt
Filed under: uncultured Bacteroides sp.
Lineage: Bacteria; Pseudomonadati; Bacteroidota; Bacteroidia; Bacteroidales; Bacteroidaceae
Description: bacterial SSU rRNA
Rfam family: Bacterial small subunit ribosomal RNA
Source: RNAcentral